Daphnia pulicaria is the source of this 1039-nucleotide long non-coding RNA. RefSeq lists it as uncharacterized. The transcript is spliced from 3 exons. NCBI's taxonomy places the organism in Eukaryota, Metazoa, Arthropoda, Branchiopoda, Diplostraca, Daphniidae. The record is from RefSeq and is a predicted model, not a curated record.
UAUACACUCACACAGAGGUAAAUUCAAGGUCACUGCACGAACCAGAAGGAACACCGACGACGAAGAAAUGAUUAUUAGCUAUUAUGGCCUUUUUGUGUGUGUGCGCGCCGGGACUCACGGAAAGAGAAGAUAGCGCGCGUGAACCGCAACAUACAUAUAAAAGUUAACUAUCUCCGCAGCAGAGAGCCAUGUUCCGCUAUAACCGAGUCAAACCAUUUCGGUCGGUUUCUUCUUCUUCUUCUUCCAGCACUUUCCUCGUUUUCACGCGGAACCCGCCACCAGCAGCAGCAGCAGACGGUGAACAGCAACAGCAGUAGUCGAGGAAAAACCCGAUUAAGAGUGUGACGUGACCGACCGUCGUCGUGUCAUCAUCGGCACCACAAACCGCGCAACCCAUUCUCCCUGCUGACUGCUGCUGCUAUACAGCGAAGUCUGGUAUCAAUUAAAAAGUAUAUUGGAUAUCUUUUUCUGUCUGACCGGAAGGCGAGAGUCAAUCACUGCGUGACUUGUGCGUUCGGCACCGGUUCAUUCCACUUUUUCUUGUUGUUAUAUUUCCUUUGGGUAAUUAUAUAGUCGACAUUGUGUUGUGUGGACUGGCCGGAGCUGGAUCUUGGUUUUUUUAGGCCUAUAUUGCGUCCAGCAUUAUUUCAGCUGCGGCCUACCACCGCCCAUUAUAUUAUUACAUUCGAUUCACAUGUGUGUUGUUGUCCGUUUCCAGUUGUUUCCUGAAUGGUUAACCAAGGGGGGACAAUGUCUACGACCUUAUUAUUACGACAUCACUUUCUAACCUCAAUUAUAACUGAACAAUGCUAUAUCUCUUUUUACUUUUAGAUCUAGUAUAUUACAGCCUAUGCCAGCUGUAUAAAUAUAAUUUGGUGUGUGUAUACUAGAUAUCCAGACGGCUAAUACAGUUAUGAUAAUUCGUCAUGUGUGUGUGUGUUCUGUGGGUUUCUUCUGAUCUAUUAAUUUUUCAAGGUUUAUGGUUCCACGAUCCAAAACUCUCCCUCUCUGUGUGUGCUGUGUGUCUAUAAUUUCAUUU